Molecule: RNA transcript, 5400 nt
Organism: Scylla paramamosain (green mud crab)
Lineage: Eukaryota; Metazoa; Arthropoda; Malacostraca; Decapoda; Portunidae
Gene name: TNF receptor-associated factor 6-like
Exons: 8
Source: RefSeq, a predicted model, not a curated record
CAACUUUUCUCCUUCCCAGAAUGUAAACAAGGACUGACGUUACUUACUCAUGCUAUCAUUUAUUAUUCUAUUACUUAUUCCCUGCGGUACUGUGGCGAGUGGCGAGUGGGGCGAGAGAGAGUGAGAGGGAGUGCCUUGGUGACCGCCCCAGCUAUGGCUUGCCACAAUUCCCUCAACGACGGCCACCUGGGGGAGUCCGUGGUGCUGCCCAGGACACAAGGUUACGAUUAUGAGUUUGUGCCAACGCUGGACCCCAAGUAUGAGUGUCCCAUCUGCCUGCUGGCUCUGAGGGCGCCCCUGCAGACUGCCUGUGGCCACCGCUUCUGCAAGGACUGUAUCUACAACUCCCUCAGUGAGUCAAGCAGGAGGUGUCCAAUUGACAACACCCCUCUGAAGGAGACGGACCUCUUCCCGGACUCCUGCGCCGAGAGAGAGGUUCUGCAGUUGAGGGUGAGGUGCCCAAACACUUCUCUAGGCUGUUCCCAAGUCCUGGACCUCAUGUAUAUUGAACAUCACACACAGGCUUGUAGUUUCCAGCCUGUGUUGUGUCCGAAUGAGUGUUCCGCCACAGUGCUGCAGAAAGAACUGGACCAUCACCUUGAUUCUCAGUGCCUGCUGCGUCUCAAGCUGUGUGCGCUGUGUGACCUGCCCUACCCAUUCAACGAGGAGCAACUGCACCUGGCCACCUGUGCGCAAGUAAUGGUGUCGUGUGAACUGUGUGGGUGUGUGGUGGCGCGGGGGGAGCUGCCGACGCACCGUAGUGACAGCUGCCCCAGGGUGGUGGUGGGGUGCCCCUACACAGAACAUGGCUGCUCCCACAAGACUGUCCGCGCCGAUCUGGACGCCCACCUCAGCCAGUCCACUCAGUACCACCUUCAUCUCCUGUCGUCAGCCCAGAAGCGCGUCACUGCCCUGGUGUGGGAAUUGAGUCGGUCCGCUGGCAUGUGGGGGCAGUCACCAAGCGGUCUGGGGUUCAGCAGACAGCCCAGCCUCAGGAGCCAGCUAUCGGCCACCUCCCCAAGCCCUGACCGGCAGCUUGGGGAGGGUAGCUGUGGGGAGAGAGGGCUAGUCUUCCCAUCCUCAGCCCUUAAACUAGAUGGCACACCUCCUUCUAAGCUUCAUCUCAGCUUCUCCCAGCUUGCAAUUGUCGGGGAAGGCGCCACAGCACUGGAGGAGGGGAAGACCGGGGAGGACGGCAAGGCAGGGUUGGGGAAGGACCUGGCUGGCAUCCACCACCAGCAGGAGGCAAUACUGAAGGACCUGUGUGGCAAGACGCUGGAGGUGAGUCAGGGGCUGCUGCAGGUGAACAUUAGCCUGAGUAACCUGCAGGCGCGGGUGGAAGAGAUGGAAGGAUGGGUGGCGGCAGAGCUGGGCGAGGCGGCGCGGGGCAAGUACUGCCAGGGGGAGUACGUGUGGCGCCUCAAGGACUUCCCGGGCACCCUGGCUGAGCUGCGGGAGAAGCCAACGAGAGUCAUCCACUCCCCCGGCUUUUACACAUCCCCCUUUGGCUACAAGUUCUGCCUGCGACUCAACUUGACGAGGGGGAGCGGCAAGGGGGAGCGGGGCGGUGAGGAGUGGCUGUCCCUCUUCAUCCACGGCAUGCAGGGCGAGAACGACGACUUCCUGGACUGGCCCUUCUCUGGCAUCAUCACCUUCUCCCUCCUGGACUGUGGCGCGGGGAGACCCAAGGCACACAUCACUGAGACCCUCCACAGCAGCCCAGACCGUCAGUCCUUCAGCCGGCCUCAGAUGCACCGUAAUCCGAAGGGCUUUGGUUACACAGAGUUUGCGCCACUCAGCAAGGUGGUGGAGGGGUCUGGCAGGGCGGAGUACGUUCACGAGGGCACGCUGCACAUCAGGGCCACCGUCAGGCUCCAGCAGCAACACCAGGGCUCCACUGGCAAGACUGGCUGCAUCUGUCAACACCAGCAGAAAUCUCAGAAGGUUUGAUGAAAUGUUUUGUUAUGUUUAUUUGUUAAGUUUUCAGGUUCAUCAACAGAAGUCACAGAAGAUUUGUUGAGAUGUUUUUGUAUAUUUAUUUGUUGUCUAAGUCAACAAGUGCAUUUUAUCUGUGUUGGGUGGUGUGUCUGUCAACUCCAGCACAAGUCACUGAAGGUUUGAUGAAGUGUUUUGAAAUAUUCAUUCAUUAACUUGCUUCACAGUUUUUUAUAUAUAUAAUUAUUUAUUAUUAUUUCUUUUUAGCCCUUUUUUUAAGGUUGUGAUUUUUAGGUGACUGUAAUCUCAACUGUUUUAUCACUACAGUGCAUAAUGAACAAACUGCACAUGAAUCUCAGAAAACAUUUAAACACUUAAAGAUUGUGGGACUAUAGCAGGAUACAAGACCACAGUUACACACAGAAUAUCUCCCUGUACAAACUCAUACUAUUACUACUACCACAGACUAUACUGACCGCCAAGCAUCACUGUCAGAUACAACUCCUGUGGGUAUGUGUGGCCAGCUGUGGUGUGCCUAAGGUAUGUGUGUGGGUAUGUGUGGCCAGCUGUGGUGUGCCUAAGGUAUGUGUGUGGGUAUGUGUGGCCAGCUGUGGUGUGCCUAAGCUUCUGGGGUGUAAUGGAGGCUGAUGGGGCUGAGGGUGUGCGUGUGUGAGUGCGUGAGUGUGUGCGUGUGUGUGGUGCCUUGUCUGGGCCGCCCCGUGUGGCAUUGCUAGCCUGGUAUAUAGGUAUAUUUAAUUAAUUUCACCUGUAACAUUAUUUCUUGAGGUAAUUGAUCAGUUCCCCUCCAAAUGUCUUCCCACAGUAUAGGUAGAUUUAAUUAAUUUCAGGUGCAAAAACAGGUAAUUGAUCAGUUCCCACAGGUUGUGUUCUUCAAGAGUUCACGUAAUACUCAAUCUAUCUCUGUGUUCUCCUUAUUCCAUUAUCCAGAUGUAUUAGUUUAUCACUCUGCUCUGAAAUGUUAUCAAGUCUUCUUUGUGUUCUUGUCUCUGUUCCACUCGUGUUCUUAAUUCACGACUGUUCUUAGAUAUCAUCAUUUAUUUCAGUUAUGUUCUCUUGGCCUGCUGCUGCGUCUUCUGUAACAGGUGCCUAUAGGUGUGUUCUUCAGGUAUGAUUAUUACCAGGUGUGUUCUUCAAGUAUGUUCAGGUGUUCUUUAUCAGCAGGUGUGUUCUUGAAGGCUACACCACACCUGUUCCUCUCAUCACAGGUGUUGGGUAUUGUCAUUAAUUGUAUUCUCAGUCAGUCAGUCAGUCGGUCAUUCAAUCAGUCAGUCAGUCAGUCAGUCAGUCAAUCAAUCAGUCAGUCAGUCAGUCAGUCAGUCAGUCAGCCAGUCAGUCAGUCAGUCAGUCAAUUAGUAAGUCACAGUCAAUCAUUAUUCCUGCAUACUUCAUCUGACUACAUAUACCUUAAUUAGUCAUGUAUACCUUACCUGUACACCUAAUCUACUCAUAUAGUAUACUUGGCCUGUAUAUCUCACCUGGCCUUGUAUACAGUACCUGCCAAUGUAAAUUUCGCUGUAUUCAUAACCUAGCCAUCUAUAUCUCAUUGUAUACAUCACCUACUCUUGUAUAUCUGUGUAUAUCUAAUUUUGGUCAUGCAUAUUCCACUGUAUACUUUAUCUGUUCAUGUGUAUCUUGCUAUGUAUCUUAUCUCUUCACUUCAGUUUACCGGUGAUGUAUAAUUAUGUAUGAUUCUUGUAUUUGGGUGAUCUCUUGCUUAGCUUUAUAAAUGUGAUCGUUUUCUGAGUCAUUCCCUCAUGUGUGUGUGUGUGUGUGUGUGUGUGUGUGUGUGUGUGUGUGUGUGUGUGUGUGUGUGUGUGUGUGUGUGUGUGUGUGUGUGUGAAUGCCAUGCUCAUAUAUGCCAACAAGUGAUUGAUGUUCCUGUCUCUGUCAUUCAUGUGGUGUCUGGGUAAUGGCUUGCUGCUGUUUGUUAUUGCACCUUUUCAGAUGCUUCAAUUAUUUUGUUAUCUAAGUAUAAUUCCAGUCAGGUCUCUUUGAACUUGCGCCAAAUUUCAUCACAUGACAUUACCACCAUUAACUUCAUUGCACCAUCAUUAACCCUUUCAUUGCACCAGCAUUAACCCUUUCAGUACACCUCAUUAACCCUUUCAGUGCACCAUCAUUAACCCUUUCAGUGCACCAUCAUUAACCCUUUCAGUGCACCAUCAUUAACCCUUUCAGUACACCUCAUUAACCCUUUCAGUACACCUCAUUAACCCUUUCAGUGCACCAUCAUUAACCCUUUCAGUACACCUCAUUAACCCUUUCAGUACACCUCAUUAACCCUUUCAGUGCCAAAUUUUACCACAUGACACUCAUCAUCAUUAACUCUUCCAGUGCAAUAUACAACAAUUUGCAGAAGAAAGAAGACAAAAAGAAUAGAUUUUGCAAUUUCUACCCCAGCAUUAUUUGAAAGUAGGUACAAAACAAGAAUAGCUGCCUUAGAGUGACUAGUAAAUAAGGAAAGAUAGGAUAGGUAGCAGUGAAAGGGUUAAAAAACAUAUUUCCUAUUUCUUCCUCCAUCCGCAGAGUUUCUCUAAGUCUUUCCGUCACUCCUUGCAUGAACCGUCACCAUUUAAGUUCCUAUGUCAGUCAUCUGUGUUGUUCUCCUUAUGUUCUCUCCCUCCUAUGUUCUCAAAUGCAAGUCCGUGUUAUAACAUGCCGGCUUGGUGUGUUCUAUCUCGCUUUCACUAUGUUAUCAAAACCCACCUGUGUUCUUAUUGUGUUGGCAUUGUGUUCUUUUCUCUGUGUGUUCAUUGUGCUAGCCUGGUGCCCUGCAUUCUCUAACUCGCCUGUGUUCUCGUGGAUUGUAUUGGAAGUUGUUGUGUCAUUGUUUUUUUGUUUUUUUUAUGGGUUUAUCAAUGAGUCUACACAUUUAACAGGUUGUAGUGGAAGUUAUUAGGGUUUUCAAGGAUAAGAAUUUCACUAACCAGUCCUGAUAUCUUACAGUUUAAUCUCUCUCUCUCUCUCUCUCUCUCUCUCUCUCUCUCUCUCUCUCUCUCUCUCUCUCUCUCUCUCUCUCUCUCUCUCUCUCUCUCUCUCUCUCUCUCUCUCUCUCUCUCUCUCUCUCUCUCUCUCUCUCUCUCUCUCUCUCUCUCUCUCUCUCUCUCUCUCUCUCUCUCUCUCUCUCUCUCUCUCUCUCUCUCUCUCUCCUGAAACGGCAAUGCUCAAAGGUUUCUGUCCAUUACAUUAAGAAAGGGAAGGAAUUAGUGAUGGGAAGAGAUGAUAGUAUUAGCACAAUUAAAGCCAAACAUUCCUGUGUAUAAGUAUUCUCCUGGACGCUGUGUAUUAAAGAACAGUAUUUUCUUACUAUUUGAUAUGAAUGAAGAGAUUAUUUGUGAUAUGUCCUAAGAGAGAUGAUUUAAUGCAGCAGGUAUAUUGAAGCUGCUGUGAUGCAACAAGAUUAUUAAUACCUUUGUGUAAAAAUAAAGAUGUAUUUUAUUCAUA